GACGAACGCUGGCGGCGUGCCUAACACAUGCAAGUCGAACGGGGUAGCAAUACCCAGUGGCGAACGGGUGCGUAACACGUGAGGAACCUGUCCAUCGGCGGGGGAUAGCCGGCCCAACGGCCGGGUAAUACCGCGUACGACCACCGGGGGGCAUCCCCUGAUGGUGAAAGCAGCAAUGCACCGAUGGAGGGCCUCGCGGCCUAUCAGCUAGUUGGUGAGGUAAUGGCUCACCAAGGCGACGACGGGUAGCUGGUCUGAGAGGAUGAUCAGCCACAUUGGGACUGAGACACGGCCCAGACUCCUACGGGAGGCAGCAGUGGGGAAUCUUGCGCAAUGGGCGAAAGCCUGACGCAGCGACGCCGCGUGUGGGAUGACGGCCUUCGGGUUGUAAACCACUGUCGGGAGGGACGAAGUUCUGACGGUACCUCCAAAGGAAGCACCGGCUAACUCUGUGCCAGCAGCCGCGGUAAUACAGAGGGUGCAAGCGUUGUCCGGAAUCACUGGGCGUAAAGGGCGCGUAGGCGGCCUGGUAAGUCGGGGGUGAAACGCUGCGGCUCAACCGCAGCACUGCCUUCGAGACUGCCUGGCUUGAGCACGGUAGAGGCUGGUGGAAUUCCCGGUGUAGCGGUGGAAUGCGUAGAGAUCGGGAAGAACAUCGGUGGCGAAGGCGGCCAGCUGGGCCGUUGCUGACGCUGAGGCGCGACAGCGUGGGGAGCAAA
RNAcentral lists this ribosomal RNA (719 nucleotides) under uncultured soil bacterium. RNAcentral's name for it is "bacterial SSU rRNA". It matches the Rfam family "Bacterial small subunit ribosomal RNA", at positions 28 to 772 of the family's 1533-position model. The record is from RNAcentral.